RNAcentral lists this ribosomal RNA (301 nucleotides) under uncultured bacterium. RNAcentral describes it as "partial 16S ribosomal RNA". It matches the Rfam family "Bacterial small subunit ribosomal RNA", at positions 509 to 809 of the family's 1533-position model. The record is from RNAcentral.
CAGUCGCCGCGGGAAUACAGAGGGUGCGAGCGUUAAUCGGAUUUACUGGGCGUAAAGCGUGCGUAGGCGGCUUCUUAAGUCGGAUGUGAAAUCCCUGAGCUUAACUUAGGAAUUGCAUUCGAUACUGGGAAGCUAGGGUAUGGGAGAGGAUGGUAGAAUUCCAGGUGUAGCGGUGAAAUGCGUAGAGAUCUGGAGGAAUACCGAUGGCGAAGGCAGCCAUCUGGCCUAAUACUGACGCUGGGGUACGAAAGCAUGGGGAGCAAACAGGAUUAGAUACCCCGGUAGUCCCUGUCUCUUAUAA